Raphanus sativus (radish) is the source of this 435-nucleotide long non-coding RNA. RefSeq lists it as uncharacterized. The record is from RefSeq and is a predicted model, not a curated record. The transcript has 3 exons. Lineage: Eukaryota; Viridiplantae; Streptophyta; Magnoliopsida; Brassicales; Brassicaceae.
UGGAAAAUAAGGGUCCAUAUUGUUCGUCUGUGGAGACAAUUCACCGUAGCAGGUAUCCAGAGUAUUGAGAUGGUUUUAGUUGAUUCCCAUGGUGAUGCUAUUCAUGCAACUAUUAGUGAGGAAUUAGUUCCUACAUUUGAAUCCAACAUCCUAGAAGGUGACUCGAAGAUUUUCUAUAAUUUUCAACUUUCUCUAUCCACCGACUCCUAUCGAACAACAAACCAUCCUUACAAAAUUUUGUUACAAGACUUUACUCGGGUUCGAUUUUGUGAGGAUAUGUCGUUCAGUUCGACCGGUUUUAAACCUUGCAGUUUUCAUGAUAUCUUAAACGGUAGUCUGAACCCGCAAUAUUUGUUCGAUAUUAUUGGUCAGGUUGUGGAGAUUUCUAAUGUUGAAAUCGUCUCUCUUAAUGGAAAGGACACCGAAAAGAUUUCG